GACGAACGCUGGCGGCGUGCUUAACACAUGCAAGUCGAACGGAAAGGCCCUGCUUUUGUGGGGUGCUCGAGUGGCGAGCGGGUGAGUAACACGUGAGUAACCUGCCCUUGACUUUGGGAUAACUUCAGGAAACUGGGGCUAAUACCGGAUAGGAGCUCCUGCUGCAUGGUGGGGGUUGGAAAGUUUCGGCGGUUGGGGAUGGACUCGCGGCUUAUCAGCUUGUUGGUGGGGUAGUGGCUUACCAAGGCUUUGACGGGUAGCCGGCCUGAGAGGGUGACCGGCCACAUUGGGACUGAGAUACGGCCCAGACUCCUACGGGAGGCAGCAGUGGGGAAUAUUGCACAAUGGGCGGAAGCCUGAUGCAGCAACGCCGCGUGCGGGAUGACGGCCUUCGGGUUGUAAACCGCUUUCGCCUGUGACGAAGCGUGAGUGACGGUAAUGGGUAAAGAAGCACCGGCUAACUACGUGCCAGCAGCCGCGGUGAUACGUAGGGUGCGAGCGUUGUCCGGAUUUAUUGGGCGUAAAGGGCUCGUAGGUGGUUGAUCGCGUCGGAAGUGUAAUCUUGGGGCUUAACCCUGAGCGUGCUUUCGAUACGGGUUGACUUGAGGAAGGUAGGGGAGAAUGGAAUUCCUGGUGGAGCGGUGGAAUGCGCAGAUAUCAGGAGGAACACCAGUGGCGAAGGCGGUUCUCUGGGCCUUUCCUGACGCUGAGGAGCGAAAGCGUGGGGAGCGAACAGGCUUAGAUACCCUGGUAGUCCACGCUGUAAACGGUGGGUACUAGGUGUGGGGUCCAUUCCACGGGUUCCGUGCCGUAGCUAACGCUUUAAGUACCCCGCCUGGGGAGUACGGCCGCAAGGCUAAAACUCAAAGGAAUUGACGGGGCCCCGCACAAGCGGCGGAGCAUGCGGAUUAAUUCGAUGCAACGCGUAGAACCUUACCUGGGUUUGACAUGGAUCGGGAGUGCUCAGAGAUGGGUGUGCCUCUUUUGGGGUCGGUUCACAGGUGGUGCAUGCCUGUCGUCAGCUCGUGUCGUGAGAUGUUGGGUUAAGUCCCGCAACGAGCGCAACCCUUGUUCACUGUUGCCAGCACGUUAUGGUGGGGACUCAGUGGAGACCGCCGGGGUCAACUCGGAGGAAGGUGGGGAUGACGUCAAGUCAUCAUGCCCCUUAUGUCCAGGGCUUCACGCAUGCUACAAUGGCUGGUACAGAGAGUGGCGAGCCUGUGAGGGUGAGCGAAUCUCGGAAAGCCGGUCUCAGUUCGGAUCGGGGUCUGCAACUCGACCUCAUGAAGUCGGAGUCGCUAGUAAUCGCAGAUCAGCAACGCUGCGGUGAAUACGUUCCCGGGGCU
Molecule: ribosomal RNA, 1346 nt
Filed under: uncultured bacterium
Lineage: Bacteria
Description: partial 16S ribosomal RNA
Rfam family: Bacterial small subunit ribosomal RNA
Source: RNAcentral